ACGAACGCUGGCGGCGUGCUUAACACAUGCAAGUCGAACGGAAAGGCCCUGCUUUUGUGGGGUGCUCGAGUGGCGAACGGGUGAGUAACACGUGAGUAACCUGCCCUUGACUUUGGGAUAACUUCAGGAAACUGGGGCUAAUACCGGAUAGGAGCUCCUGCUGCAUGGUGGGGGUUGGAAAGUUUCGGCGGUUGGGGAUGGACUCGCGGCUUAUCAGCUUGUUGGUGGGGUAGUGGCUUACCAAGGCUUUGACGGGUAGCCGGCCUGAGAGGGUGACCGGCCACAUUGGGAUUGAGAUACGGCCCAGACUCCUACGGGAGGCAGCAGUGGGGAAUAUUGCACAAUGGGCGGAAGCCUGAUGCAGCAACGCCGCGUGCGGGAUGACGGCCUUCGGGUUGUAAACCGCUUUCGCCUGUGACGAAGCGUGAGUGACGGUAAUGGGUAAAGAAGCACCGGCUAACUACGUG
Molecule: ribosomal RNA, 467 nt
Filed under: uncultured bacterium
Lineage: Bacteria
Description: partial 16S ribosomal RNA
Rfam family: Bacterial small subunit ribosomal RNA
Source: RNAcentral